UGAGGAUCGUAGAAUAACCUUUGUUGAACUCUUAAUUUUUAGAGUGUACAAACUGUACACAUUCACACUGCCCUGAUUUGGCCUGCCUGUCUGUCUAUCCUGUCUUCCUAUCUGUGUGUCUGUCUGUCUUUCUGCCUGCCUGUCUGUCUGUCUGUCAGUUGGCGGAUAUGUGGGCUCAGUACUACAGACAGUGUUUCCAGACCAUUACCAACGGCCCACAGAACCCCGCCUUUGCCUUCACUCAGAAGGGGAGAACAGUGAGGGCAGCUACGUUGGACAGUGAGAGUUUCAGUAAGAUCCAAGUGGAAAGGACAGCUCCUCCAGAGAAGGGGCAGAGCCAGAUACCACCACAGCGUUCGAGCUCCGACUCUGGGGAACGAAGGUCGGUCUCUCCCUCUCUCUCCUCAACCUCAGUCCAUAACUCCCUCCCGUCCCGCCCUGCCAGGAAAGAGGCAUGGACACAUGCAACAGGGGACCCGGCACUGGGGGUCACAACGACACCCAAGGACAUGGUGGAGCUGCCUCACAUCGGCAGUGGAGAAGGAAGUGAUGGGGAGCUCCCGCUGCAGGUGGAGCGGUUAAGGGCGGAGCAGUUCCGUCAGGACAUGACCCACUCAUCUAGGCUGGAAGGCCAGAUCAACCAGCGCAUAGCCACCCAGUCUAACCUCAUGCACCUAGGGCUGCCAUUCAACGGUGUGACCACCUACAGCCAGAGUUACACACACUGGGACAACCCGUCCACACUGAGAGGCCCGCAGUGCAUCCUGCCUGAAGCCACACUCAACUGGAGGGCCUGGGUGUCAGAGUACCAGGACCGGUACCAGGGCCCUGAUCGCUACGUCCCUGGGCAGAGGAAGCCCCCUAGCGGCCUGAAGGAGCCCUGCACCGCCGAGUACCAGCCUGGUGCCCACACCGCAGACCAGACCCGAGGACACAUCUGCUCGGAGUAUCAGAGGCACUUCACUAAGAAGAACUACCCUGGCCUGUCCAGACCCAAGACCAGCCCUGCGUACAGACAGAGACAACUGACCUAA
Oncorhynchus mykiss (rainbow trout) is the source of this 1034-nucleotide long non-coding RNA. The record is from Ensembl. Lineage: Eukaryota; Metazoa; Chordata; Actinopteri; Salmoniformes; Salmonidae.